RNAcentral lists this ribosomal RNA (244 nucleotides) under uncultured bacterium. RNAcentral describes it as "partial 16S ribosomal RNA". It matches the Rfam family "Bacterial small subunit ribosomal RNA", at positions 524 to 767 of the family's 1533-position model. The record is from RNAcentral.
UACGAAGGGGGCUAGCGUUGCUCGGAAUCACUGGGCGUAAAGCGCACGUAGGCGGAUUGCUAAGUCAGGGGUGAAAUCCUGGAGCUCAACUCCAGAACUGCCCUUGAUACUGGCGGUCUCGAGUCCGGGAGAGGUGAGUGGAACUGCGAGUGUAGAGGUGAAAUUCGUAGAUAUUCGCAAGAACACCAGUGGCGAAGGCGGCUCACUGGCCCGGUACUGACGCUGAGGUGCGAAAGCGUGGGGA